RNAcentral lists this ribosomal RNA (459 nucleotides) under uncultured bacterium. RNAcentral describes it as "partial 16S ribosomal RNA". It matches the Rfam family "Bacterial small subunit ribosomal RNA", at positions 338 to 795 of the family's 1533-position model. The record is from RNAcentral.
CCUACGGGGGGCAGCAGUGAGGAAUAUUGGUCAAUGGCCGGAAGUCUGAACCAGCCAAGCCGCGUGAAGGACGAAGGUUCCAAGCAUUGUAAACUUCUUUUGUCAAGGGACACAAUCAGGCUCGAGAGCCUGACCGAGUGUACUUGAAGAAAAAGCAUCGGCUAACUACGUGCCAGCAGCCGCGGUAAUACGGAGGAUGCGAGCGUUAUCCGGAUUUAUUGGGUUUAAAGGGUGCGUAGGCGGGCUGUUAAGUCAGCGGUAAAAGCCCGGGGCUCAACCCCGGCGAGCCGUUGAAACGGGCUGUCUUGAGAUGUCGAGAGGUAUGCGGAAUGCGCAGUGUAGCGGUGAAAUGCGUAGAUAUUGCGCAGAACUCCGAUGGCGAAGGCAGCAUACCGGCGGCGAUCUGACGCUGAGGCACGAAAGCGUGGGUAUCGAACAGGAUUAGAUACCCUUGUAGUC